CAAAUAGAAGCCCCCACCAUGGCAUCUGAACUUGGUUAUUCAAGAAAAUGCAGAGGAUUAGGGAGACUGUGAGUGUCACCAGAAGCAAUGCAUUAAACCACCAAGAAGGUAGGAUUUUAAAAUGGAUUAUUGAGGUCAUUGCUAAAUAUGUGCUAUACCAUUCAAGGGAAUCAAUGUGGUUAUUUCUCCCGGUACUUUGCUCCAAUCAUGCAAAAUAAUGGAGUUAGACUAGAGCUAAAUUGGACUGUCUUUUUCUGAUCCCAGAAUGACUUGAAUUUGGGAGCCUAUUUUAAUCUUCUAAUACAGCUUAGAGAUGUCAGCAGGUGAACCAUCUUGGUUAUCGAUUGGCGCUCAACAGUGAAGGUAAAGGGAUGGCUUCAGAUUUCGUCCGAAGUUCCUUUCCACUAUUGAAAUAUUAUCAUGCAAAAUUUUCAGUAUGCAUAGGUUUGUAAAUCUAACACAUUGUGAAAAAGUUUAAUUCUACUAACAGCAAACUGUGAGUACUAUGAAAAUAUUCAAUGUACAAAUGUAAAAUUCUCUCUUUAACAUGCGCCACCCCAUUUUCUUAGUA
Nicotiana tabacum (common tobacco) is the source of this 571-nucleotide non-coding RNA. The record is from RefSeq and is a predicted model, not a curated record. NCBI's taxonomy places the organism in Eukaryota, Viridiplantae, Streptophyta, Magnoliopsida, Solanales, Solanaceae.